GCGCGAAAACUUUACAAUGCUGGCAACAGCGAAAGGGAACCUCGAGUGCCAGGUUACAAAUCUGGCUGUCGAGAUGCCUAAAAAGCAUUUCAUAGCAAGGGCCGGGCAAGACCGGUGCCAGCCGCCGCGGUAACACCGGCGGCUCGAGUGGUAACCGUUAUUAUUGGGUCUAAAGGGUCUGUAGCCGGCCGGAUAAGUCUCUUGAGAAAUCUGGCAGCUGAACUGUCAGGCUUUCAGGAGAUACUGGCUGGCUCGAGGCCGGGAGAGGGGAGAGGUACUUCAGGGGUAGGGGUGAAAUCUUGUAAUCCUUGAAGGACCACCAGUGGCGAAGGCGUCUCACCAGAACGGACCUGACGGCAAGGGACGAAAGCUAGGGGCACGAACC
Molecule: ribosomal RNA, 385 nt
Filed under: uncultured prokaryote
Description: bacterial SSU rRNA
Rfam family: Archaeal small subunit ribosomal RNA
Source: RNAcentral